UCGACGCAUUCUUCGGAAUGAGUGGCGCACGGCUGAGGAACACGUGACUAACCUACCCCGGUGUGGGGGAUAACGGGUCGAAAGACUCGCUAAUCCCGCAUACGAUCCGCCUCGGCGGAGGAAAGCCGUAAGGCGCACUGGGCGGGGGUCGCGUCCCAUUAGAUAGUUGGUGUGGUAAUGGCGCACCAAGUCGAUGAUGGGUCUCUGGUCUGAGAGGACGACCAGACAGAUUGGGACUGAGACACGGCCCAAACUCCUACGGGGGGCAGCAGCAAGGAAUUUUCGGCAAUGGGCGCAAGCCUGACCGAGCAACGCCGCGUGGAGGAUGACGGCUCUUGGGUUGUAAACUCCUUUUGGGGGGGACGAUAAUGACGGUACCCUCCGAAUCAGGCCCGGCUAACUACGUGCCAGCAGCCGCGGUAAUACGUAGGGGCCAAGCGUUGUCCGGAAUUACUGGGCGUAAAGCGUGGGUAGGUGGUCGGUGAUGUGCCGCGUGAAAGCGCCGGAGUAAUGCCGGCGAGGUCGCGGUAGACACACGGACUCGAGGCUCGCAGAGGAACGUGGAAUUCCCGGUGUAGUGGUGAAAUGCGUAGAUAUCGGGAGGAACACCAGUGGCGCAAGCGGCGUUCUGGGCGAGACCUGACACUGAGCCACGACGGCGUGGGGAGCAAACAGGAUUAGAUACCCUGGUAGUCCACGCAGUAAACGAUGCAUACCAGGUGUGGGAUGGCGUUCGCGUCGUUCCGUGCCGCAGCUUACGCGAUGAGUAUGCCGCCUGGGGACUACGAGCGCAAGCUUAAAACUCAAAGGAAUUGACGGGGGCC
Molecule: ribosomal RNA, 824 nt
Filed under: uncultured bacterium
Lineage: Bacteria
Description: bacterial SSU rRNA
Rfam family: Bacterial small subunit ribosomal RNA
Source: RNAcentral